GGACUACCAGGGUAUCUAAUCCCGUUCGCUCCCCUGGCUUUCGCAAUAUCAGCGUCAGUAUCAGCCCAGUGACCCGCCUUCGCAUCUGGUGUUCCUCCCAAUAUCUACGCAUUUCACCGCUACACUGGGAAUUCCAGUCACCUCUUCUGUACUCUAGUCUGACAGUAUCAAAUGCAGUUCCCAAGUUGAGCCCGGGGCUUUCACAUCUGACUUUUCAAACCGCCUAAUCGCGCUUUACGCCCAGUAAUUCCGAACAACGCUUGCCCCCUACGUAUUACCGCGGCUGCUGGCAC
This 293-nucleotide ribosomal RNA is filed under the name uncultured Acidobacteriota bacterium. Its description in RNAcentral is "uncultured Acidobacteria bacterium partial 16S ribosomal RNA". Lineage: Bacteria; Pseudomonadati; Acidobacteriota. The record is from RNAcentral.